Long non-coding RNA from Fukomys damarensis (Damara mole-rat), 333 nucleotides. RefSeq lists it as uncharacterized. The transcript is spliced from 3 exons. The record is from RefSeq and is a predicted model, not a curated record. NCBI's taxonomy places the organism in Eukaryota, Metazoa, Chordata, Mammalia, Rodentia, Bathyergidae.
GGUUCCACCGCCUGCUUUGCAAGCACAAGGACCCAGCCUCACAGAGCACUCCAUUUGGCCACCUAUGCCCCUCCCUCAGUGAAGAAUGGAAGGGGAUUCAUUCUCUCCUCUUCCGCCUCUGAGAGCCUGUUUCCAUAGACAUGUGGGGACACGUGUGACUCACGUGUGUCACUACGGAACCCUCCCGCUCCACUCUUCUCGAGGCCAACAACAGGAUGAUCUUUUCAUUGUCGAAUCGUGUUCUACUGUCCAGAGUGCAGACCACGAGUGCCCUGUCCAUUCGUCCCCUGGUGGGCACCUUGGGUGGCCCCUUAUCUCAGCUUUUGUGAAUAA